RNAcentral lists this unclassified non-coding RNA (27 nucleotides) under uncultured bacterium. The record is from RNAcentral.
AUGCUCAAAGAUCCUGCAGUGCGUCAC